Molecule: ribosomal RNA, 447 nt
Filed under: uncultured bacterium
Lineage: Bacteria
Description: SSU rRNA
Rfam family: Bacterial small subunit ribosomal RNA
Source: RNAcentral
AGAACGAACGCUGGCGGCAUGCCUAACACAUGCAAGUCGAACGAGACCUUCGGGUCUAGUGGCGCACGGGUGCGUAACGCGUGGGAAUCUGCCCUUGGGUACGGAAUAACAGUUAGAAAUGACUGCUAAUACCGUAUAAUGACCUCGGUCCAAAGAUUUAUCGCCCAGGGAUGAGCCCGCGUCGGAUUAGCUAGUUGGUAGGGUAAAAGCCUACCAAGGCGACGAUCCGUAGCUGGUCUGAGAGGAUGAUCAGCCACACUGGGACUGAGACACGGCCCAGACUCCUACGGGAGGCAGCAGUGGGGAAUAUUGGACAAUGGGCGAAAGCCUGAUCCAGCAAUGCCGCGUGAGUGAUGAAGGCCUUAGGGUUGUAAAGCGUCUUUUACCCGGGAUGAUAAUGACAGUACCGGGAGAAUAAGCCCCGGCUAACUCCGUGCCAGCAGCCGC